GGAGAAGUACUCAAGUGGCUAAAGAGGAGCCUCUGCUAAGGGCUUAGAUCGUCUUAAAAACGGUGCGAGGGUUCAAAUCCCUCCUUCUCCG
Non-coding RNA from Clostridiales bacterium GWD2_32_19, 91 nucleotides. The record is from Rfam. Lineage: Bacteria; Bacillati; Bacillota; Clostridia; Eubacteriales.